RNAcentral lists this ribosomal RNA (425 nucleotides) under uncultured bacterium. Its description in RNAcentral is "partial 16S ribosomal RNA". It matches the Rfam family "Bacterial small subunit ribosomal RNA", at positions 354 to 796 of the family's 1533-position model. The record is from RNAcentral.
GUGGGGAAUCUUGCGCAAUGGGCGAAAGCCUGACGCAGCCAUGCCGCGUGAAUGAUGAAGGUCUUAGGAUUGUAAAAUUCUUUCACCGGGGACGAUAAUGACGGUACCCGGAGAAGAAGCCCCGGCUAACUUCGUGCCAGCAGCCGCGGUAAUACGAAGGGGGCUAGCGUUGCUCGGAAUUACUGGGCGUAAAGGGAGCGUAGGCGGAUAGUUUAGUCAGAGGUGAAAGCCCAGGGCUCAACCUUGGAAUUGCCUUUGAUACUGGCUAUCUUGAGUGUGGAAGAGGUAUGUGGAACUCCGAGUGUAGAGGUGAAAUUCGUAGAUAUUCGGAAGAACACCAGUGGCGAAGGCGACAUACUGGUCCAUUACUGACGCUGAGGCUCGAAAGCGUGGGGAGCAAACAGGAAUAGAAACCCGUGUAGUCC